RNAcentral lists this ribosomal RNA (1705 nucleotides) under Escherichia coli. Its description in RNAcentral is "partial 23S ribosomal RNA". It matches the Rfam family "Bacterial large subunit ribosomal RNA", at positions 1252 to 2925 of the family's 2925-position model. The record is from RNAcentral. Lineage: Bacteria; Pseudomonadati; Pseudomonadota; Gammaproteobacteria; Enterobacterales; Enterobacteriaceae.
GAAGGUGUGCUGUGAGGCAUGCUGGAGGUAUCAGAAGUGCGAAUGCUGACAUAAGUAACGAUAAAGCGGGUGAAAAGCCCGCUCGCCGGAAGACCAAGGGUUCCUGUCCAACGUUAAUCGGGGCAGGGUGAGUCGACCCCUAAGGCGAGGCCGAAAGGCGUAGUCGAUGGGAAACAGGUUAAUAUUCCUGUACUUGGUGUUACUGCGAAGGGGGGACGGAGAAGGCUAUGUUGGCCGGGCGACGGUUGUCCCGGUUUAAGCGUGUAGGCUGGUUUUCCAGGCAAAUCCGGAAAAUCAAGGCUGAGGCGUGAUGACGAGGCACUACGGUGCUGAAGCAACAAAUGCCCUGCUUCCAGGAAAAGCCUCUAAGCAUCAGGUAACAUCAAAUCGUACCCCAAACCGACACAGGUGGUCAGGUAGAGAAUACCAAGGCGCUUGAGAGAACUCGGGUGAAGGAACUAGGCAAAAUGGUGCCGUAACUUCGGGAGAAGGCACGCUGAUAUGUAGGUGAAGUCCCUCGCGGAUGGAGCUGAAAUCAGUCGAAGAUACCAGCUGGCUGCAACUGUUUAUUAAAAACACAGCACUGUGCAAACACGAAAGUGGACGUAUACGGUGUGACGCCUGCCCGGUGCCGGAAGGUUAAUUGAUGGGGUUAGCGCAAGCGAAGCUCUUGAUCGAAGCCCCGGUAAACGGCGGCCGUAACUAUAACGGUCCUAAGGUAGCGAAAUUCCUUGUCGGGUAAGUUCCGACCUGCACGAAUGGCGUAAUGAUGGCCAGGCUGUCUCCACCCGAGACUCAGUGAAAUUGAACUCGCUGUGAAGAUGCAGUGUACCCGCGGCAAGACGGAAAGACCCCGUGAACCUUUACUAUAGCUUGACACUGAACAUUGAGCCUUGAUGUGUAGGAUAGGUGGGAGGCUUGGAAGUGUGGACGCCAGUCUGCAUGGAGCCGACCUUGAAAUACCACCCUUUAAUGUUUGAUGUUCUAACGUUGACCCGUAAUCCGGGUUGCGGACAGUGUCUGGUGGGUAGUUUGACUGGGGCGGUCUCCUCCUAAAGAGUAACGGAGGAGCACGAAGGUUGGCUAAUCCUGGUCGGACAUCAGGAGGUUAGUGCAAUGGCAUAAGCCAGCUUGACUGCGAGCGUGACGGCGCGAGCAGGUGCGAAAGCAGGUCAUAGUGAUCCGGUGGUUCUGAAUGGAAGGGCCAUCGCUCAACGGAUAAAAGGUACUCCGGGGAUAACAGGCUGAUACCGCCCAAGAGUUCAUAUCGACGGCGGUGUUUGGCACCUCGAUGUCGGCUCAUCACAUCCUGGGGCUGAAGUAGGUCCCAAGGGUAUGGCUGUUCGCCAUUUAAAGUGGUACGCGAGCUGGGUUUAGAACGUCGUGAGACAGUUCGGUCCCUAUCUGCCGUGGGCGCUGGAGAACUGAGGGGGGCUGCUCCUAGUACGAGAGGACCGGAGUGGACGCAUCACUGGUGUUCGGGUUGUCAUGCCAAUGGCACUGCCCGGUAGCUAAAUGCGGAAGAGAUAAGUGCUGAAAGCAUCUAAGCACGAAACUUGCCCCGAGAUGAGUUCUCCCUGACUCCUUGAGAGUCCUGAAGGAACGUUGAAGACGACGACGUUGAUAGGCCGGGUGUGUAAGCGCAGCGAUGCGUUGAGCUAACCGGUACUAAUGAACCGUGAGGCUUAACCUUACAACGCCGAAG